This 495-nucleotide ribosomal RNA is filed under the name uncultured bacterium. RNAcentral's name for it is "partial 16S ribosomal RNA". It matches the Rfam family "Bacterial small subunit ribosomal RNA", at positions 28 to 507 of the family's 1533-position model. The record is from RNAcentral.
GACGAACGCUGGCGGCGUGCCUAAUACAUGCAAGUAGAACGCUGAAGGAGGAGCUUGCUCUUCUGGAUGAGUUACGAACGGGUGAGUAACGCGUAGGUAACCUGCCUGGUAGCGGGGGAUAACUAUUGGAAACGAUAGCUAAUACCGCAUAAGAGUAGAUGUUGCAUGACAUUUACUUAAAAGUUGCAAUUGCAUCACUACCAGAUGGACCUGCGUUGUAUUAGCUAGUUGGUGGGGUAACGGCUUACCAAGGCGACGAUACAUGGCCGACCUGAGAGGGGGGUCGACCACACUGGGAAUGAGACACGGCCCAGACUCCUACGGGAAGGAGCAGUAGGGAAUCAUCGGUAAUGGACGGAAGUCUGACCGAGCAACGCCGCGUGAGUGAAGAAGGUUUUCGGAUCGGAAAGCUCUGUUGUAAGAGAAGAACGAGUGUGAGAGUGGAAAGUUCACACUGUGACGGUAUCUUACCAGAAAGGGACGGCUAACUACGUG